AAUCAGUCCAUUUGCUCCUUACGGUGGUUGGUCUUCCAAUUUUGCCCUUCCACAUCUCACAUUCAAACCCACCACUCUCCCAUUUUUAAAGAAACGAAAUUGCCUGACCGGCCACUAAUUUCUUCCUCUUCCACCGGCGGCGACGGCGUGGAUCUAAUCGAAAACUCCCUACAGGUUCAAGACAACCAUGGAUCAAUAUUCUACUUCGGUUAGUGUUGGAAAUCUACCUUUCUUUUUCUACAGUUUUGCAAAACGAAUUCCUCCGACAAGAACACGCGACGACGGCAAAAUAGAUCGUAAAAGUAAUAUUAACUUUGAACUACCUGUUCAGUAACAUAAGAUAUCCACAACAUAGCAACAGUUUUUUAUUUUCUCUCGCACAUACCCGUUUCUUGGUAAAGCACCCCCAAUAUUCUGACUUAGGCAUAUAGAUUGGAACUAGAAUUUAAAAUUUUGUUGUUUGAUUCCUUCUUUUUUCAAUUUUGUAAUGAAAACCAACUAUAAUAUGCUUCUAAAUGUUUUCGUAUUGGGAAUUUAUACGAAUUUUGAUCUUCAUUAUGGUAAUUUUUUUUUUUUUUUGAAUAUUGUUUUGUACUAAAUUUGUGAAAUUCUUUAAUGGCAUUUAUGGUAUAAUUGUAUGUUAUUGAGUAGAGAGGAUUCCUGGGUUCGUUUUGGAAUGGGAACGUAUGAAUUUGUGAUAUAAUGUUCUGUUAUUAUUAUUAUUAUUAUUAUUAUUAUUAUUAUUAUUAUUAUUAUUAUUAUUAUUAUUAUUAUUAUUAUAUGCAAUGAGAAAGAUUGUUUUUGACAUUGCAUGUUUCCUUUGUUUUGAUUUCAGUAUUCAGUGCUCAAUUUGUUUUCUCAAGGUUCAUGUUAGUAUUUUUAUACUGAUUAAUUCUUUUAGGUUCUUUCAUACGGGGUUUGGAAUGCUGAGAAUUCGAAAUCAUGUUCUAUUCUUAUUAUUGAAUCUGCACCACAUGUCGGACAACUUGCACAUCUAUGUUACUUUUUCUAAGACUUCGUUGCACAUAUUUUGCAAAACAAUUUCUUCAGGAUAAGUUCCUAAGCCGAUACUGACAAGCCAAAGUUACUGUUUUCAGAUUCUAUUUCCUUUCUAGUGGGCAGUAGUUGUAGUGUUGUUAUAAAUUUAAAAUUUUGUAUGUUUACACGUACCAAUACUCCCCAUCUCAUGUUUAUUUCAUUUUCCUUCUCAGACGCAUAUGGGCUUCCACACUGCCUCGACUUCCAACCCCGAACCAAUCUCGCCCCAAGCCCAUGCGAAGAGGACUACCCAGUGGACGCCCGAAGAUAAUCGAGUCUUCAUUGCCGCCUGUGAGAUUGUAAUAGCCGAUGGGCACCGUAGUGGGAAGUGCUUCACAAAACAUGGCUGCCGCACAAUUGUCCAAUUGUUCAACGCCAACUCUGGGCACGAUUGGAGUAGGUAGCAGUUGAAGAAACAUUGGGAUUAUCUUCGGGUCAAGUAUAAACGUCUCCAGCACUUGAUAGACAGUACCGGCAUUGCGUAUGACUCUGCACGCAGCCGUCUAGUCACGUCCGAUGAGUGGUGGACACGAAAGAUUAAGGUACAAAUCUGCUUGAAUUGCCACUUUCCAAAUUCGAAUGUCAACCAAUACCCUAGUAUUCGUUUCAUUUGUAGAUAAUACUUUUACUCAAACAUGUCGCAGUUGGAGCAUAUGUCAUAAAAUUCAAUUGCGUAAUUCUGUAUUUUUAUUCCUUACGCGGCUCCUUACUCGUUGUGCAUUUAUGUUUCUUCCAUUCUAAACAGGAGAGCAAAGAGUAUAGAAAGUUCGAAGACAAAGACUGCAGAGAGAUAAACGCCUAUCGAGAUCUGUUUGCGGACGCAUUCGACAGCAAAAAGUACGCGAUGACACCGACGAAGCUGUGCAGGACCGAAUUCGCUAUGUUUGAAGGCAGUACAAACGACGACACGCGUGAUGCAAUGCCUAUGUACGAUGAGAGUAGCUGCUCCAGUGAUGAGGGCAACAAGUUAGACGGGCCCACUUCAAGCAUGGACAUCUCCGAUCGUAGGAGUGGAGAGAAACGUAGAUCUUGCUACAGUAAAAGCAAGGAGAAAGAACUAAAAUAUCGGCUAAGGAAUUGUCGUACUCAGUUGAUAAGGCCACGAUUGCAAGUGAGAAAGUUGUGGUAAAAAUCAACAACUUAGUCAGAUCCAAUGUUUCGAGCAUGAAGACAUACACGAAAGAGUUGUUCACAACUGGCAGUUUGCAAAAGAAAACUGACCUAUACUUUUGGACCUGCACGUUUCCGUCUUUAAAGUGGAACAAGGAAGUCCUGGAGACGUAGGAGGAUGCGAACGAGAAGAUGGAUUGGCUGAAGUGGAACUGGCAUGAGUACAGGAGAGGACGACCGCAGUGGCAACUGCAUGCAGGGUUGAAUAAAUUUUAACCAUUGUGGAAUGGGUGUUUGCUUUGUUAUUUUUUCAUUUUCGUCGGUGUGCAAUUCGUCAACUUUAGAAUAUUGUUGUUGUGUACUUUUUAAGAUUUUCUGUAUCCAUGUAUUUAGUACGAACUACUGAGAUUUCAUGUCCAUGUUUGUCAUUUGUACUUAUGCAAUGUUCACAAAGUUGCUUGUUAGUUUAAGUUUGUCAUCAAUUGUCAUGCAUAAUUGAGCAUCUCUAAC
Molecule: long non-coding RNA, 2658 nt
Filed under: Olea europaea subsp. europaea
Lineage: Eukaryota; Viridiplantae; Streptophyta; Magnoliopsida; Lamiales; Oleaceae
Source: RNAcentral